GAUUGGAUAGCUCAGUCAGUAGAGCAUGAGACUCUUGAACUCAGGGUUGUGGGUUCGAGCCCCACGCUGGGCA
Podarcis lilfordi (Lilford's wall lizard) is the source of this 73-nucleotide non-coding RNA. NCBI's taxonomy places the organism in Eukaryota, Metazoa, Chordata, Lepidosauria, Squamata, Lacertidae. The record is from the annotation of a GenBank genome assembly.